Molecule: long non-coding RNA, 372 nt
Filed under: Monodelphis domestica (gray short-tailed opossum)
Lineage: Eukaryota; Metazoa; Chordata; Mammalia; Didelphimorphia; Didelphidae
Description: lncRNA (ENSMODG00000048111.1)
Source: RNAcentral
UUAUUCACUUACAAAAAUGAAUAACAUGGAAAUGUGUUUUGUGUCAUAAUAUAGGUAUAACCCAGAAAAAAAUGAUGGAAACCUUUUUUGCUGUUUCUGGGUACUUCUGGCUCUGCUUACUUCACCUUGUAUCAGUUCAUUCUUGAUGUUGACAUUCCAGAACUUCUCAGCCCUCCCUUGUCCAGAAGGUCAUGGGAUACCUUGGAAACUGGCAUCAAUCCUCAAGCAGAAGGGGAAGCUCCAAAGGAUCUGGGUAACUGUGUGACCUGGGCCAGUCCAAACCAGGUGCUCAGCCCAUAUCUCAAAUGGAGGUAAGAGGCAAGAGAAUCAUAGGAUGCUAGAGCUGGAAGGAACCUUAGAACAUAGCAUAGU